This 4751-nucleotide long non-coding RNA is filed under the name Gallus gallus (chicken). Its description in RNAcentral is "lncRNA (ENSGALG00010010775.1)". Lineage: Eukaryota; Metazoa; Chordata; Aves; Galliformes; Phasianidae. The record is from RNAcentral.
AUUUGUUUGGUGAAAAUCUGCCAAUUAAAGACCAAACUGUAAAUCUUCAAUACAAACAUUAUUUCAGUUUUUCUACACGGGUGAUAAAGCUGAAGAUCGACUGGAAAAUGGUCUGUAUGCUUCCACAAGUAAAUGCUUGUGAGAACAUGGCCAUCAAAAGGAAUUAAUUUACAAGAAGGAUGCGUAAUAAAUUUGGAACCUGCUAUGUAACAGGAUGAAGGAUGACACAUGAUGUGGGAGCUUUACCUUUGAUUCUGAGACAUGAAGAUUUCCUCUUAUGCCUACCCCAGAGCCAGUUCUGAGGGGAGGAAACAGGAUGCAAAGUAAUCAGUAUUUCUCAAUGAAUUUUCAAAAACAUCUCCUACUGUUGUGACCCAGUCCUCUGUGGUGGUUUUCUGAUGGACCAUGACUUGCUCUUGGAUUCUGCUGACUGGGUGAGGUAAAGAGAGGCAAAGAUAAGCAUCAUUCAGCUGUCACCCUUCUGCCCUUGGGGAGUUCUUUCGCUGAAGCUGUCUGGAGCAUAUGUAAAGGUUGAAUACGUGCAAUCUUGAGUAAUACCUAUGUAAGGAACAACGUUGGAUUCACGUACCUGAUUGUAGAGCAAUGGUAACUUGUUUCACUGAUAGCUCUGGGAAAGGACAUAAUGAAUGCCCUUGGGAAAGAUGACGGUGACUUUGAGGCCUCAUGUUGUGGCUUAACCCCAGCAGGCAGCUCAGCACCACCCAGCCACAGGCUUAUUCCCCCAUAGUGGGAUGAGGAGGGAAUCAGAAAGUUCUCCAGAUCUGAAGAGUGAAGGUCCAGUUGAUCACCAAGGAGUCAUUUACUGUUACUAUGCGCUCACUUUUGCUGUGUGACAGUUCUGUAUGGAUUACAAUGGCCGUGAUAUUUUUAAAGCAUAUUGUCAUUUUUUUUCUUUCUCAUUUUCUUAUUUUUCUCGCAGCUGAAGCACUUAAUGUAUCUCUCCUAUCUUUUGCAUAUAUAAUGUUCAACUGUGUAAAUUGUUAAUCUUUCCCAUUAUUUGGCUUGUUUUACUGAAGGCAGUAACCACUCUUAAGUAUUCAAUGCUCAUACAAAAUAAAAAAUAAUUCAGAUUUAUUCCAUCUAUUUAAAACUGCUCAUAUAUUUGUAGUAUCUCAAGUUCUACUGCCUCUAUUCCCCGAAAGAGCAGAUUUUCUCUUAAUCCCUGGAGACUGCAUAAUAUUAGGAAGUCAUUAGUGGUGAGCAUCCAUGUUAUUAAGCCUUAUGAACAACUUUUGAAUAGUGUUGCAUGUAUCUUUAUUGGAGCUCUAUAUGUUAGUCAUCUACCUCCACAGAAAUUUCUGCAGUUCUGUACUUCUGAAGUAUCCAAACAGCACUGUUAAGAUUAUGACCGUAAAGCAAACCUUGGAAAGUCACAUGCAAGUCUUGAAGAUGUGUGCAUGGGUAUUCUGGGAGGAAGACAACUCUUUGCAGUGGCCCCAACUCCACUCAGUGCAGUUCAGCUCCAUCCUGUCAUCCUCCUCUCCCAGACAUGCUUACCUGUUGCCACUGUCUUGAAAUGACCAAGUCCCACUCUAGGAUGUUUGUGUAAUGGCCCUAUAUGUAUGCCCGCUCUGGGAGGUUUGCCUGCCAGAGCAGCCUGAUUCCCUGGGGAUCAUGGGAGAGGUGCCCCACAUUCUUACUCUGCUCCCUGUCUGGAGGUGAUGGGAUGGAGCUUGGAUGGCAGUGCCAUACACUGCCAGCUCCUUAUCUGAAGAUGUUACAAGGUAGUAUCUUCAAAAAUGAAUUACAGGAACACAUGACCAAGGUUACAAAACUAUAGUCUUGAGGUACAGGGAAAAUUUUCAGAGCAAGACAUAUUGAAAUGAGUUUUUAAAUUGUGAAUGUCGACUUUCUAGAUGAUUUGAUAUUCCCUGUGCUUUAUAAGUAAGCUUUUAUUAUUUCUGUACUUCCAAAGUGAAUCCUUUUUCAUUCAUAAAAUUAUCUGAUUUUAUAUUCCAGGGUAGUAGCUGGGUCACAUCAGGUGCUGAAGCAAAUGUACUGACAUCUGAAUUAGCUCUCUGAUCUUGCUAAGAAUGUAACUCAGAUGAACAUGACAGCAAUUGAUUUUUAUAUACCCUCUUUUUUAUACAAUCUAUGACACCUUACAUCUGCAGUUUCCCAUUAUAAAUUUUGAAGAAGUUUAAUCUCAGAGAAAGCUUUAUUCAAACAUUGUGCUUAUAGAUGAACAGCAUGCACUCUUUUCCUUUGUUUAAAGCAAUGCAAUUUUGUUUUCAUAUACUUCUGCUUCACCAGUGUAAUCCAUUAAUACGUUUUCAGAAACAUAAAUCAGAAUAUCUCUUCCUAUACUGUGCACAUUUUCCAUAAUAAGAUCCGAGCAUGACUCUGAGGGGAUUUUUUAUCAAUAUCUUCUGAGGUUUUUAUAUUUAAUUUUUUUUUUUUUCAAGCAAUCCUGUUGCAAAUCAGUCUUUGAGGACUGGUAAUAAUAAUAGUGAGUUCUUAGCAGUUGUCUCACACAACCAUACAUCUAGUGACUGGUGCUUGUUCAACAAUGUCUGCCCUAUAAAAGAUGUAAUGAAGUUGAGUGAUCUCUAAGGAAUAUGAUACUCUGCACUUUCCAGCAUCACUGGCUGUAAUAUUGUUGCUUGGAACUCUGCAUUCAUAAUUUUGUUAUCCCUGUCAGAACAUCAAAUGCAAUUUUGAUGGAAAGGUGGGGUCUAAUUUUUCCAAUUACUAGUUGCUUUGUUGAAACUCAUCCUUAUUGUUGCUCUUGAAGAUGAAGAAGUAUAUGCAAAAUUUCUUUGGAGUACAAACAAAAUGAAGCAUGAUAAUUAAGAUCUUCUUCCAACUACAGCUUUUCCAUAUAUUCUUCUCUAAAGUGAUGUUUUAUAUUCAUAAUACGUUAAACAUUAAGUGCUGAAAACACAUUAAAAACAUUUUCAAAAUGCUUUCACUUUUCACCUGUAAUUGAGUCAUCAAUAUUAGCAACCAGCUAUGAAACUAAUUUGGCUUAUUGUGUUACUCAUCCUCACAUCUUAAUUAAUGAUUAAUAAUCUUACUGACAUUAAAAGGUUCCUUUUGAAAUGUAACUACUGCAUUGUAAUACUAUGCUAUGACUGUCUCCAAAAUUAUCUGUGCCAUAAUAUUUCUUUGUAAUUAAAAUAAUAGGUUUAUAUUUGCAGCUGGACAAGCAGGCAAGUCUGUGAAGCCUAAUAUGUUCAUAUGUAUUAAAAGAUCAUCUGUGAUAGACAAGGGAAUUAAACAUCAUGAUAUGGUUUAUUCCUCCAGAAAAUGAACUCUGUACUCGAAUGUUUUAUGGAUUUUGCCAGCUGCUUACCUUCCUCCAUCUUCUGUAUAUCCCUUGCAAAGAUAAUGUUUCUUUGUUUAAAUCCCACUGUUUCUGGGAAAUCACAAAAUCAGUGUUUUUCCUUUAUGCUAGCAGUACUGUAGACAUUACGUCAAGUCAAUUGUAGGAUGAUGCAAAUAUAUUAAUGUGUACAUGAAGUUCAUUUUGUACGAUACAUUAUUCAUUUAAUGGGCUACUGAGUGAGGUUGAAGUCUGAACUUCUCCCAGCACUCCCAAGGAGGACUGUUGUGUGGUUUAUGUAUCCAUCAUCUUUACAUGGAAUUUCUCCUUUAGGGGAGGUUUAGGUUGGUUAUAAGGAAAAAAGUUCUUCACUGAGAGCAUGGUUGGCCACUGCAACAGGCUUCACAUGGCAGUGGUCAUAGCACUGUGCUUGUCACAGUUCAACAAGCAUAUGGACAACACUCUUAGUUGUAUGGUCUUGAUUUUGGGUGGUACUAUGUGAAGCCAGGAGCUCGACUUGAUGAUCUUCAUGGGUCCCUUCCAACUCAGGAUUUUCUAUGAUUCUAUGAUUCUAUUAUCAUACAAUGUGGCAAUUAGACUAGGGAUGUGCUUUAGGUCCUGAAGAUUAUCUCCUUUUAAUGGAUUUUGAGGAGAUAUGAGCAAAAUGUUCAUGUUUUUAAGGAGCAGUAUAGUAGCCCAAAUGCUCUAUUCACUUCUGAAAACUAUAUUUGAAUGACUGGUGUUUAAUUUUUCCCUCCUGAAACAGAAACAGCAGCAUUUUGGUCACACUAGGCAUCCAGUUUCUUCUUUACAAGCUGGACUACUACACAUAAAAUCAAGUGUUUUUUCUUGCAUUUGGUUGUCUUUGCAGGUGAAAUGAGUCAGUUUACUUUCUAUACACCAGUUUAUCUUAGACAUCAACUCAUAAUUUACUCCUUGCUGUAUUACUUGUAUCUUACUGAUUUUCAGCAAAGUACAGUGAAUGUACAAGAUGAGUCAAGACCACUCCAUAGCCCAAAAGGCAAUCCAAGCAAUGUCUCAUACAAACAUUUUCGCUGCUUCUCAUGACUCUUCUUUCCUUAAUGAACUAAUCUGUAAUCAGUGAUAGAUAUGAUCUGGGGAUAGAAAACCUCUAGAAAGAAUUUGCCUUAAGAAAUGGUACACCUUCCUUUGAGCAGUUAUUACCUUUCAUUCUGUGCAUCUUCAUUUGUGUCUUUAACAUCUGGAAAUACCUUAAUAAAUUAACUUUAUUUUUUCUGUAGUCCCACUAUCACUAUGCCAUUAUCAUUUUCAGUUUUAACAAUUAAUUACUUACAAUUUAAUGCAAUAAUAUUUCAGUUUUUGAAAAACAGAAGUAGUUGUUGGUUCUAGAUCCAAUUCCUAUAGAGCAGUAAGACGAAAAAAAUCAGAGAAUUGACCAAAUGUACAAACCCAAAUUUACAAACCCAAACUUCCACUCAUUGAG